UGGGAAGCUUUCUGGUCCAGGUAGAGACUC
This 30-nucleotide non-coding RNA is filed under the name Mus musculus (house mouse). Lineage: Eukaryota; Metazoa; Chordata; Mammalia; Rodentia; Muridae. The record is from RNAcentral.